GCAGGGAGAAGCUGCUGGCCUGCUGUGCCAGGCGGACCAUGUACUAGAGUUAGCUGUUUAUGGAGCAUCUUCUCUAUGGAGCCUUGGUGUCCUUAGCUGUAAAAUGUCAAGAACAGCAUCACUCGCUGGACUGGUGUAAGGACUGGAGAGACCAGCCCCCCAGUCUGUGGUGCUCGCCACGGCAGCCCUGGCACGCUGAUCCAAGAGGUGAGAGGAAGAUGAGGGUGCGGUAUCCCAGAGGGUGGGAGAUGAGAACGCUUCAAGCAGGAGGGGUUGUCCAUGUUCUUAUAGGCACUGGGAGCUGAAGGGAGAGGAAGAGCAAGCUGCGCCCCUUGGAAGGACCUGCAGAGAAUGAUCCCGGUGGAGUGUGGUCAGGGCGGAAGCCAGAUCUCCAGGGUUGAGGGUUGGUAAGACUCCCACUGACGGCCAGUGUAGAUGAUUCUUGGAAGAAAUUUAGUUGUGAGUUGGGCAGAG
RNAcentral lists this long non-coding RNA (474 nucleotides) under Equus caballus (horse). RNAcentral's name for it is "lncRNA (ENSECAG00000048962.1)". The record is from RNAcentral. Lineage: Eukaryota; Metazoa; Chordata; Mammalia; Perissodactyla; Equidae.